AGUCUGACGGAGCACGCCGCGUGAGUGAUGAAGGCUUUCGGGUCGUAAAACUCUGUUGUUAGGGAAGAACAAGUGCUAGUUGAAUAAGCUGGCACCUUGACGGUACCUAACCAGAAAGCCACGGCUAACUACGUGCCAGCAGCCGCGGUAAUACGUAGGUGGCAAGCGUUAUCCGGAAUUAUUGGGCGUAAAGCGCGCGCAGGUGGUUUCUUAAGUCUGAUGUGAAAGCCCACGGCUCAACCGUGGAGGGUCAUUGGAAACUGGGAGACUUGAGUGCAGAAAAGGAAAGUGGAAUUCCAUGUGUAGCGGUGAAAUGCGUAGAGAUAUGGAGGAACACCAGUGGCGAAGGCGACUUUCUGGUCUGUAACUGACACUGAGGCGCGAAAGCGUGGGGAGCAAACAGGAUUAGAUACCC
RNAcentral lists this ribosomal RNA (415 nucleotides) under Bacillus thuringiensis. RNAcentral's name for it is "bacterial SSU rRNA". It matches the Rfam family "Bacterial small subunit ribosomal RNA", at positions 380 to 787 of the family's 1533-position model. The record is from RNAcentral. Lineage: Bacteria; Bacillati; Bacillota; Bacilli; Caryophanales; Bacillaceae.